This 253-nucleotide ribosomal RNA is filed under the name uncultured bacterium. RNAcentral describes it as "partial 16S ribosomal RNA". It matches the Rfam family "Bacterial small subunit ribosomal RNA", at positions 524 to 776 of the family's 1533-position model. The record is from RNAcentral.
GACGUAGGGCGCGAGCGUUGUCCGGAUUUAUUGGGCGUAAAGCGCGUGUAGGCGGCUUUGCAAGUCGGGUGUGAAAGCCCUCGACUCAACCGAGGAAGUGCGCCCGAAACUGCAGAGCUUGAGUACCGGAGAGGAUGGCGGAAUUCCCCAAGUAGAGGUGAAAUUCGUAGAUAUGGGGAGGAACACCGGUGGCGAAGGCGGCCAUCUGGACGGAUACUGACGCUGAGACGCGAAAGCGUGGGGAGCAAACAGG